GCAUGUGAGAGUAAUCCAUGACACUUGUUACUUCUUGAUCGCCAGCAUUAAUUCUGCUGGUCUGGCCGGCUAGGUGAGCGUCCCUUUCUUCCCUUCCCACUUCCCCUGAAGCUGCACGCUCAGUCUAAGAAGAUGACCUCCCCCAUAGAGAAAGACCUGUCUUCCAUCAAGGGUCCAGGAACAGCUGUGCCUCCCCACCCCUGCUGCUGCUGCUGCUGCUGCGUCGCUUCAGUCGUGUCCGACUCUAUGCGACCCCAUAGACGGCAGCCCAU
Molecule: unclassified non-coding RNA, 272 nt
Organism: Bos indicus x Bos taurus (hybrid cattle)
Lineage: Eukaryota; Metazoa; Chordata; Mammalia; Artiodactyla; Bovidae
Gene: 7SK
Rfam family: 7SK RNA
About the family: 7SK was discovered as an abundant small nuclear RNA in the mid-70s but a possible function has only recently been suggested. Two independent studies have found that 7SK RNA binds the CDK9/cyclin T complex (known as elongation factor P-TEFb).
Source: Ensembl